GCUUCUAGGCGUUUACUCGGUUUUACAUAUAUAAAAAGCGAGAAGAAAAUUGCAAAUAAAGAAAAAGGCAAGAUUUGCAAUACAAAGGGACAAACUACCUUUAACCUAAACACAACUUUUACAAAGUUUUGACUUUUGAUGGAAUGAUUAAAUGGGUGUUAAACGUUGUUACUUUGUUAUAAUUCUAGAAAAUCUAAAUAUGGUGUUAGUGAAAAUAUUGAUAAUGAAAUGGUGAAAAUUUAAACUGUAUGGGAAAGAGAUAUUCUUAUAACCAAGAGGUUGUAGUGGGG
This 290-nucleotide long non-coding RNA is filed under the name Eutrema salsugineum. RNAcentral describes it as "long non-coding RNA (ESAL_LNC001001)". The record is from RNAcentral. Lineage: Eukaryota; Viridiplantae; Streptophyta; Magnoliopsida; Brassicales; Brassicaceae.